This 253-nucleotide ribosomal RNA is filed under the name uncultured bacterium. Its description in RNAcentral is "partial 16S ribosomal RNA". It matches the Rfam family "Bacterial small subunit ribosomal RNA", at positions 524 to 776 of the family's 1533-position model. The record is from RNAcentral.
UACAGAGGUCUCAAGCGUUGUUCGGAUUCAUUGGGCGUAAAGGGUGCGUAGGUGGCGCCAUAAGUCAGGUGUGAAAUCUCGGGGCUCAACCUCGAAACUGCACUUGAUACUGUGGUGCUUGAGUACUGGAGAGGAGAUUGGAAUUUACGGUGUAGCGGUGAAAUGCGUAGAUAUCUGGAGGAAUACCGGUGGCGAAGGCGGCAUCCUGGACCGGCAUUGACGCUGAUGAGCGAAAGCUAGGGGAGCAAACGGG